Molecule: ribosomal RNA, 465 nt
Filed under: Vreelandella stevensii
Lineage: Bacteria; Pseudomonadati; Pseudomonadota; Gammaproteobacteria; Oceanospirillales; Halomonadaceae
Description: partial 16S ribosomal RNA
Rfam family: Bacterial small subunit ribosomal RNA
Source: RNAcentral
CCUACGGGAGGCUGCAGUGGGGAAUAUUGGACAAUGGGCGAAAGCCUGAUCCAGCCAUGCCGCGUGUGUGAAGAAGGCCUUCGGGUUGUAAAGCACUUUCAGUGGGGAAGAAAGCCUUGGGGCUAAUACCCUCGAGGAAGGACAUCACCCACAGAAGAAGCACCGGCUAACUCCGGGCCAGCAGCCGCGGUAAUACGGAGGGUGCGAGCGUUAAUCGGAAUUACUGGGCGUAAAGCGCGCGUAGGCGGUCUGAUAAGCCGGUUGUGAAAGCCCCGGGCUCAACCUGGGAACGGCAUCCGGAACUGUCAGGCUAGAGUGCAGGAGAGGAAGGUAGAAUUCCCGGUGUAGCGGUGAAAUGCGUAGAGAUCGGGAGGAAUACCAGUGGCGAAGGCGGCCUUCUGGACUGACACUGACGCUGAGGUGCGAAAGCGUGGGUAGCAAACAGGAUUAGAUACCCCGGUAGUC